CGAAACUUAAUGUUGAAAUAAACAAAAGAUAAAAUUUGCUCCGUUCUGGCUCCUUGCUGUGCUCCUCUCAGUUUUACUUGCAACUGCUGGUGCUGGAAAAUUGCUAGUAAGAAGAAUCAGAACAUGGUACAAACAACCUAUCCCAUCUUAGAUUCCAUUCAUUUUGAUGAACAGCUGAUGAAUUAACAUUUCUCUUACCCUGUUUCCUAGUCAGAAUCAGCAUCAAAUGAACAGCUGAUGAAUUAACAUUUCUCUUACCCUGUUUCCUAGUCAGAAUCAGCAUCAGUAUCUGGAUCAGCAUCAACAAUGCCUGGAAACGAGUCCAUAGAUGAGUCACUAUCCAAAUGCACCAUAGAUGAACUACCCUUCUUGGCAUUUGGCAAGGUUGAUGAAGUUUUUCCAGCAACAUGAUCAAAGCCAUCAA
Molecule: long non-coding RNA, 424 nt
Filed under: Gossypium raimondii (Peruvian cotton)
Lineage: Eukaryota; Viridiplantae; Streptophyta; Magnoliopsida; Malvales; Malvaceae
Description: long non-coding RNA (GRAI_LNC008700)
Source: RNAcentral